RNAcentral lists this ribosomal RNA (447 nucleotides) under uncultured bacterium. Its description in RNAcentral is "partial 16S ribosomal RNA". It matches the Rfam family "Bacterial small subunit ribosomal RNA", at positions 354 to 796 of the family's 1533-position model. The record is from RNAcentral.
GUUAAGAAUCUUGCGCAAUGGGGGGAACCCUGACGCAGCGACGCCGCGUGGAUGAUGAAGGCCUUCGGGUUGUAAAGUCCGGUAAGCAGGGAAGAAUAAGUGUGGGGUAAUAUUCCACAUGAUGACGGUACCUGCCUAAAGCCCCGGCUAACUACGUGCCAGCAGCCGCGGUAAUACGUAUGGGGCAAGCGUUGUUCGGAAUUAUUGGGCGUAAAGGGCGUCUAGGCGGGGGAUUAAGUUAGAUGUGAAAGCUAUGGGCUCAACCCAUAAAUUGCAUCUAAGACUGGUUCUCUUGAGUCCGGGAGAGGAGAGCGGAAUUCCAGGUGUAGCGGUGAAAUGCGUAGAUAUCUGGAAGAACACCAGUGGCGAAGGCGGCUCUCUGGCCUAGGACUGACGCUGAAGCGCGAAAGCGUGGGGAGCGAACAGGAUUAGAAACCCGUGUAGUCC